RNAcentral lists this ribosomal RNA (250 nucleotides) under uncultured bacterium. RNAcentral's name for it is "partial 16S ribosomal RNA". It matches the Rfam family "Bacterial small subunit ribosomal RNA", at positions 524 to 773 of the family's 1533-position model. The record is from RNAcentral.
GACGAACUGUGCAAACGUUAUUCGGAAUCACUGGGCUUAAAGGGUGCGUAGGCGGUCUUUUAAGUAGGGUGUGAAAGCCUCUGGCUCAACCAGAGAACUGCGCCCUAAACUAGAAGGCUUGAGUGAGGUAGGGGUGUGUGGAACUUCCAGUGGAGCGGUGAAAUGUGUUGAUAUUGGAAGGAACGCCGGUGGCGAAAGCGACACACUGGACCUUGUCUGACGCUGAGGCACGAAAGCCAGGGGAGCAAAC